UUUCAAUAUCGUUGGAUUCUGACAUUGUUAGACCAGGAGCUGGGAAGACCCACAGUGCCCCCUGGUGGCUGCCUUGGCCUGAGUGUGUUUCAUUGAACAAAUAGCUGUUUUGGCUGCAGCCCAGGGAUGAGCAAAAGGCCUGCAUUGGCUGAGGCAUCUUUGGAUCCAAGAAGUGGCUGGGGACCUGGGAGCCCUGGUGCUUGUCUGAGCCUGUGUAGCAGCAGAGGAGG
Choloepus didactylus (southern two-toed sloth) is the source of this 230-nucleotide long non-coding RNA. RefSeq lists it as uncharacterized. NCBI's taxonomy places the organism in Eukaryota, Metazoa, Chordata, Mammalia, Pilosa, Megalonychidae. The record is from RefSeq and is a predicted model, not a curated record. The transcript is spliced from 3 exons.